This 274-nucleotide ribosomal RNA is filed under the name uncultured bacterium. RNAcentral's name for it is "partial 16S ribosomal RNA". It matches the Rfam family "Bacterial small subunit ribosomal RNA", at positions 523 to 796 of the family's 1533-position model. The record is from RNAcentral.
AUACGGAGGGUGCAAGCGUUACUCGGAAUCACAGGGCGUAAAGCGCGCGCAGGCGGCUUGGUAAGUUGGAUGUGAAAGCCUACGGCUCAACCGUAGAACUGCAUCCAAAACUGUCAAGCUAGAGUGUGGGAGAGGAAGAUGGAAUUAGUUGUGUAGGGGUAAAAUCCGUAGAGAUAACUAGGAAUACCAAAAGCGAAGGCAAUCUUCUGGAACACUACUGACGCUGAGGCGCGAAAGCGUGGGGAGCAAACAGGAUUAGAUACCCUAGUAGUCC